RNAcentral lists this ribosomal RNA (252 nucleotides) under uncultured bacterium. RNAcentral describes it as "partial 16S ribosomal RNA". It matches the Rfam family "Bacterial small subunit ribosomal RNA", at positions 524 to 776 of the family's 1533-position model. The record is from RNAcentral.
UACGGGGGGAGCAAGCGUUGUUCGGAUUUACUGGGCGUAAAGGGCGCGUAGGCGGUAGCACAAGUCAGUUGUGAAAUCUCCGGGCUUAACUCGGAAAGGUCAACUGAUACUGUGCGACUAGAGUGCAGAAGGGGCAACUGGAAUUCUCGGUGUAGCGGUGAAAUGCGUAGAUAUCGAGAGGAACACCUGCGGCGAAGGCGGGUUGCUGGGCUGACACUGACGCUGAGGCGCGAAAGCCAGGGAGCGAACGGG